UUCUAAGAGUCUGAAGAUAGCUACAGUGU
RNAcentral lists this non-coding RNA (29 nucleotides) under Mus musculus (house mouse). The record is from RNAcentral. Lineage: Eukaryota; Metazoa; Chordata; Mammalia; Rodentia; Muridae.